RNAcentral lists this ribosomal RNA (431 nucleotides) under uncultured bacterium. Its description in RNAcentral is "partial 16S ribosomal RNA". It matches the Rfam family "Bacterial small subunit ribosomal RNA", at positions 29 to 507 of the family's 1533-position model. The record is from RNAcentral.
AACGAACGCUGGCGGCAUGCCUAACACAUGCAAGUCGAACGAGACCUUCGGGUCUAGUGGCGCACGGGUGCGUAACGCGUGGGAACCUGCCCUUAGGUUCGGAAUAACUCUCCGAAAGGGGUGCUAAUACCGGAUAAUGUCUUCGGACCAAAGAUUUAUCGCCUUUGGAUGGGCCCGCGUUGGAUUAGCUAGUUGGUAGGGUAAAAGCCUACCAAGGCGACGAUCCAUAGCUGGUCUGAGGAGGAGCAGCCACACUGGGACUGAGACACGGCCCAGACUCCUACGGGAGGCAGCAGUGGGGAAUAUUGGACAAUGGGCGAAAGCCUGAUCCAGCAAUGCCGCGUGAGUGAUGAAGGCCUUAGGGUUGUAAAGCUCUUUUACCCGGGAUGAUAAUGACAGUACCGGGAGAAUAAGCUCCGGCUAACUCCGUG